Molecule: long non-coding RNA, 215 nt
Filed under: Salvia miltiorrhiza (redroot sage)
Lineage: Eukaryota; Viridiplantae; Streptophyta; Magnoliopsida; Lamiales; Lamiaceae
Description: long non-coding RNA (SMIL_LNC004177)
Source: RNAcentral
UCAAAGCACAGACACUUCCAUGAUGUCUCAGCAGCUGUAUGAGACACGGAUCUCCACGCUGGAAGAGCGCCUUCAGGCCGAACAAGCAGCACGUGAGGCCGAACGAGAGGCUUCUCGAGCAGAACGUGAGGCUCUCGAGCAGCGUAUGGCUCAAUUCGAGGAGUUCAUGAGGCGGUCGGGUCAGCUACCUUGAGCAGCACUUCAUGUUUUGGAAC